UCCGGGGUCGUCUAACGGCAGGACAGGGGACUUUGGAUCCCUUAAUGGAGGUUCGACUCCUCCCCCCGGAA
This 71-nucleotide transfer RNA is filed under the name Gemmatimonadota bacterium. RNAcentral's name for it is "Gemmatimonadetes bacterium (groundwater metagenome) tRNA-Gln". It matches the Rfam family "tRNA". From Rfam's summary of the family: Transfer RNA (tRNA) molecules are approximately 80 nucleotides in length. Lineage: Bacteria; Pseudomonadati; Gemmatimonadota. The record is from RNAcentral.